RNAcentral lists this long non-coding RNA (570 nucleotides) under Columba livia (rock pigeon). RNAcentral describes it as "partial uncharacterized LOC102084493". The record is from RNAcentral. Lineage: Eukaryota; Metazoa; Chordata; Aves; Columbiformes; Columbidae.
AACGCUACAAAACUGAAACAGGAAAACGCACUACUUCAGGUUCAACUGAAGAAUUACAAGACGGAGAACGAAGCGCUGCGGUCGGGCCAGUCGGCGAGCCUGGCCGUGGUGAAGCAGAACGCAGAGCUCGCCCUCCAGAACCUGCUCACGGUCAUCACCAACUCCCGCUCCUCCAUCAGGCAGCUGGUCUCCGGAGCAGAAUCGCUGCAGCUUGUUGCCGAUCUCCUUAAAUCAAUAGACAGAAUUUCUGAAGUGUCGGAACACGGACAGUGACUCAAACACAACGGACUCAAACGGAGAACUUGGCUUUCGUGCAGAAAUCAUGUUAAAAAAGUUAAUUUCUGACAUUCCACCUCGUGACAAGGUGCGAAGCUCUUGGCGCUGCUGCAGAAAUGGCUGUUCUGGAUCGUGAGAACCGAAUGGACCAGAGUACGUCCUUGUCCUGCGAGGCUGGGACCACGGCCACCCCCUCACACCCCACAUUCCCGCGGGCACCCCGGAUUUUGGCUGAGACCCCCCCAAGUGCCCCAGGUUUUGGCUGUGAUGCCCAUUUGCCUUUCCGUGCCCAUU